RNAcentral lists this ribosomal RNA (213 nucleotides) under Triticum aestivum (bread wheat). Its description in RNAcentral is "partial small subunit ribosomal RNA". Lineage: Eukaryota; Viridiplantae; Streptophyta; Magnoliopsida; Poales; Poaceae. The record is from RNAcentral.
AUGGGUCACGGCCAUGGUCGCUGCCUGAGCACGAGCUCCGGCCGGCCGCCGCACCUGGCUGCGCCAUCCGCCGUCCCGGCGGUGGGUGGCGGCGGCGGUGGCAGGGCAGUGGGUGCUGGCGGCGCCUCGUCCCAGCUGAGGCAGCUCUCUUUUUUGAGUCGCUCGACUCGUAUGUGUCGACUAGUCCAUCCACAGCUCGACUCCUAUUUGUAG